RNAcentral lists this ribosomal RNA (2281 nucleotides) under Clostridium faecium. RNAcentral describes it as "Clostridium sp. N37 partial 23S ribosomal RNA". It matches the Rfam family "Bacterial large subunit ribosomal RNA", at positions 1 to 2276 of the family's 2925-position model. Lineage: Bacteria; Bacillati; Bacillota; Clostridia; Eubacteriales; Clostridiaceae. The record is from RNAcentral.
CGGUUAAGUUAGAAAGGGCGCACGGUGGAUGCCUUGGCACUAGGAGCCGAUGAAGGACGGGACGAACACCGAUAUGCUUCGGGGAGCUGUAAGCAAGCUUUGAUCCGGAGAUUUCCGAAUGGGGAAACCCACUGCUCGUAAUGGAGCAGUAUCCAUAUCUGAAUUCAUAGGAUAUGAGAAGGCAGACCCGGGGAACUGAAACAUCUAAGUACCCGGAGGAAGAGAAAGCAAAUGCGAUUCCCUGAGUAGCGGCGAGCGAAACGGGAACAGCCCAAACCAAGAGGCUUGCCUCUUGGGGUUGUAGGACACUCUGUACGGAGUUACAAAAGAACGAGGUAGAUGAAGAGGUCUGGAAAGGCCCGCCAUAGGAGGUAACAGCCCUGUAGUCAAAACUUCGUUCUCUCCUGAGUGGAUCCUGAGUACGGCGGAACACGUGAAAUUCCGUCGGAAUCCGGGAGGACCAUCUCCCAAGGCUAAAUACUCCCUAGUGACCGAUAGUGAACCAGUACCGUGAGGGAAAGGUGAAAAGCACCCCGGAAGGGGAGUGAAAGAGAUCCUGAAACCGUGUGCCUACAAGUAGUCAGAGCCCGUUAACGGGUGAUGGCGUGCCUUUUGUAGAAUGAACCGGCGAGUUACGAUCCCGUGCAAGGUUAAGUUUGAAAAGACGGAGCCGCAGCGAAAGCGAGUCUGAAUAGGGCGUUUGAGUAUGUAGUCGUAGACCCGAAACCAUGUGAUCUACCCAUGUCCAGGUUGAAGGUGCGGUAAAACGCACUGGAGGACCGAACCCACGUACGUUGAAAAGUGCGGGGAUGAGGUGUGGGUAGCGGAGAAAUUCCAAACGAACUUGGAGAUAGCUGGUUCUCUCCGAAAUAGCUUUAGGGCUAGCCUCAAGGUAAGAGUCUUGGAGGUAGAGCACUGAUUGGACUAGGGGCCCCUACCGGGUUACCGAAUUCAGUCAAACUCCGAAUGCCAAAGACUUAUCCUUGGGAGUCAGACUGCGAGUGAUAAGAUCCGUAGUCGAAAGGGAAACAGCCCAGACCGCCAGCUAAGGUCCCAAAGUAUACGUUAAGUGGAAAAGGAUGUGGAGUUGCUUAGACAACCAGGAUGUUGGCUUAGAAGCAGCCACCAUUUAAAGAGUGCGUAAUAGCUCACUGGUCGAGUGACUCUGCGCCGAAAAUGUACCGGGGCUAAACGUAUCACCGAAGCUGCGGACUGUUCUUGCGAACAGUGGUAGGAGAGCGUUCUAAGGGCUGUGAAGCGAGACCGGAAGGACUCGUGGAGCGCUUAGAAGUGAGAAUGCCGGUAUGAGUAGCGAAAGAGGGGUGAGAAUCCCCUCCACCGAAUGCCUAAGGUUUCCUGAGGAAGGCUCGUCCGCUCAGGGUUAGUCGGGACCUAAGCCGAGGCCGAAAGGCGUAGGCGAUGGACAACAGGUUGAUAUUCCUGUACCACCUCCUCACCAUUUGAGCAAUGGGGGGACGCAGGAGGAUAGGGUAAGCGCGGUAUUGGAUAUCCGCGUCCAAGCAGUUAGGCUGGGAAAUAGGCAAAUCCGUUUCCCGUAAGGCUGAGCUGUGAUGGCGAGCGAAAUAUAGUAGCGAAGUUCCUGAUUCCACACUGCCAAGAAAAGCCUCUAGCGAGGUGAGAGGUGCCCGUACCGCAAACCGACACAGGUAGGCGAGGAGAGAAUCCUAAGGUGAUCGAGAGAACUCUCGUUAAGGAACUCGGCAAAAUGACCCCGUAACUUCGGGAGAAGGGGUGCUCUGUUAGGGUGCAAGCCCGAGAGAGCCGCAGUGAAUAGGCCCAGGCGACUGUUUAGCAAAAACACAGGUCUCUGCGAAGCCGUAAGGCGAAGUAUAGGGGCUGACGCCUGCCCGGUGCUGGAAGGUUAAGAGGAGCGCUUAGCGUAAGCGAAGGUGCGAAUUGAAGCCCCAGUAAACGGCGGCCGUAACUAUAACGGUCCUAGGUAGCGAAAUUCCUUGUCGGGUAAGUUCCGACCCGCACGAAAGGCGCAACGAUCUGGGCACUGUCUCAACGAGAGACUCGGUGAAAUUAUAGUACCUGUGAAGAUGCAGGUUACCCGCGACAGGACGGAAAGACCCCGUGGAGCUUUACUGCAGCCUGAUAUUGAAUGUUGGUACAGCUUGUACAGGAUAGGUAGGAGCCUUGGAAACCGGAGCGCCAGCUUCGGUGGAGGCAUCGGUGGGAUACUACCCUGGCUGUAUUGACCUUCUAACCCGCUGCCCUUAUCGGGCAGGGAGACAGUGUCAGGUGGGCAGUUUGACUG